Molecule: long non-coding RNA, 147 nt
Filed under: Polistes fuscatus (common paper wasp)
Lineage: Eukaryota; Metazoa; Arthropoda; Insecta; Hymenoptera; Vespidae
Description: uncharacterized LOC122521540
Source: RNAcentral
AUUACCCGAUAUGCACUUUGCAAUUUGAAUUUUGACAAGGAUGAGAGACGUUCCAGUUUUGUAUACGAAGGCGGAGAAAAGAUAUCUUAUUAAUGUCACGUUGAUUUCAAUAUUUUCACUUAUUUCGGCAUUGAAAAUAUUGGGUAA